UACGGAGGGUGCAAGCGUUAUCCGGAUUCACUGGGUUUAAAGGGUGCGUAGGCGGGUUGGUAAGUCAGUGGUGAAAUCCCCGAGCUUAACUCGGAACGGCCAAGUGAAACUGUCAAGCUAGAGUGCAGAAGGGGCAAUCGGAAUUCUUGGUGUAGCGGUGAAAUGCGUAGAUAUCAAGAGGAACACCUGAGGUGAAGACGGGUUGCUGGGCUGACACUGACGCUGAGGCGCGAAAGCCAGGGGAGCAAACGGG
RNAcentral lists this ribosomal RNA (253 nucleotides) under uncultured bacterium. RNAcentral describes it as "partial 16S ribosomal RNA". It matches the Rfam family "Bacterial small subunit ribosomal RNA", at positions 524 to 776 of the family's 1533-position model. The record is from RNAcentral.